RNAcentral lists this ribosomal RNA (505 nucleotides) under Oxyrrhis marina. Its description in RNAcentral is "partial Bacterial small subunit ribosomal RNA". It matches the Rfam family "Bacterial small subunit ribosomal RNA", at positions 470 to 975 of the family's 1533-position model. The record is from RNAcentral. Lineage: Eukaryota; Dinophyceae; Oxyrrhinales; Oxyrrhinaceae.
UGACGGUACCUGCAGAAGAAGCCCCGGCUAACUCCGUGCCAGCAGCCGCGGUAAUACGGAGGGGGCUAGCGUUGUUCGGAAUUACUGGGCGUAAAGCGCACGUAGGCGGACUUUUAAGUCAGAUGUGAAAUCCCAAGGCUCAACCUUGGAACUGCAUUUGAAACUGGGAGUCUAGAGAUCAGGAGAGGUUAGUGGAAUACCGAGUGUAGAGGUGAAAUUCGUAGAUAUUCGGUGGAACACCAGUGGCGAAGGCGACUAACUGGACUGAUACUGACGCUGAGGUGCGAAAGUGUGGGGAGCAAACAGGAUUAGAUACCCUGGUAGUCCACACCGUAAACGAUGAGUGCUAGUUGUCUGCAGGCAUGCCUGUAGGUGACGCAGCUAACGCAUUAAGCUCUCCGCCUGGGGAGUACGGCCGCAAGGUUAAAACUCAAAGAAAUUGACGGGGGCCCGCACAAGCGGUGGAGCAUGUGGUUUAAUUCGAUGCAACGCGAAGAACCUUACC